RNAcentral lists this ribosomal RNA (527 nucleotides) under uncultured bacterium. RNAcentral's name for it is "bacterial SSU rRNA". It matches the Rfam family "Bacterial small subunit ribosomal RNA", at positions 981 to 1509 of the family's 1533-position model. The record is from RNAcentral.
UUGACAUACUCGUGCUAUUCCUAGAGAUAGGAAGUUCCUUCGGGACACGGGAUACAGGUGGUGCAUGGUUGUCGUCAGCUCGUGUCGUGAGAUGUUGGGUUAAGUCCCGNAACGAGCGCAACCCCUAUUGUUAGUUGCCAUCAUUAAGUUGGGCACUCUAACGAGACUGCCGGUGAUAAACCGGAGGAAGGUGGGGAUGACGUCAAAUCAUCAUGCCCCUUAUGACCUGGGCUACACACGUGCUACAAUGGAUGGUACAACGAGUCGCGAGACAGUGAUGUUUAGCUAAUCUCUUAAAACCAUUCUCAGUUCGGAUUGUAGGCUGCAACUCGCCUACAUGAAGUCGGAAUCGCUAGUAAUCGCGGAUCAGCACGCCGCGGUGAAUACGUUCCCGGGCCUUGUACACACCGCCCGUCACACCACGGGAGUUGGGAGUACCCGAAGCAGGUUGCCUAACCGCAAGGAGGGCGCUUCCUAAGGUAAGACCGAUGACUGGGGUGAAGUCGUAACAAGGUAGGCGUAGCGAG